This 492-nucleotide ribosomal RNA is filed under the name uncultured bacterium. RNAcentral's name for it is "partial 16S ribosomal RNA". It matches the Rfam family "Bacterial small subunit ribosomal RNA", at positions 29 to 507 of the family's 1533-position model. The record is from RNAcentral.
AGUGAACGCUGGCGGUAGGCCUAACACAUGCAAGUCGAACGGCAGCACAGUAAGAGCUUGCUCUUACGGGUGGCGAGUGGCGGACGGGUGAGGAAUACAUCGGAAUCUACUUUUUCGUGGGGGAUAACGUAGGGAAACUUACGCUAAUACCGCAUACGACCUACGGGUGAAAGCAGGGGAUCUUCGGACCUUGCGCGAUUGAAUGAGCCGAUGUCGGAUUAGCUAGUUGGCGGGGUAAAGGCCCACCAAGGCGACGAUCCGUAGCUGGUCUGAGAGGAUGAUCAGCCACACUGGAACUGAGACACGGUCCAGACUCCUACGGGAGGCAGCAGUGGGGAAUAUUGGACAAUGGGCGCAAGCCUGAUCCAGCCAUACCGCGUGUGCGAAGAAGGCCUUCGGGUUGUAAAGCCCUUUUGUUGGGAAAGAAAAGCAGCAAGUUAAUACCCCGCUGUUCUGACGGUACCCAAAGAAUAAGCACCGGCUAACUUCGUG